AGAGUUUGAUCAUGGCUCAGGAUGAACGCUAGCUACAGGCUUAACACAUGCAAGUCGAGGGGAAACGACAUCGAAAGCUUGCUUUUGAUGGGCGUCGACCGGCGCACGGGUGAGUAACGCGUAUCCAACCUGCCCACCACUUGGGGAUAACCUUGCGAAAGUAAGACUAAUACCCAAUGACGUCUCUAGAAGACAUCUGAGAGAGAUUAAAGAUUUAUCGGUGAUGGAUGGGGAUGCGUCUGAUUAGCUUGUUGGCGGGUAACGGCCGCCAAGGCUACGAUCGAGUAGGGGUUCUGAGAGGAAGGUCCCCACAUUGGAACUGAGACACGGUCCAAACUCCUACGGGAGGCA
RNAcentral lists this ribosomal RNA (351 nucleotides) under uncultured bacterium. RNAcentral's name for it is "bacterial SSU rRNA". It matches the Rfam family "Bacterial small subunit ribosomal RNA", at positions 8 to 350 of the family's 1533-position model. The record is from RNAcentral.